Molecule: ribosomal RNA, 401 nt
Filed under: uncultured bacterium
Lineage: Bacteria
Description: bacterial SSU rRNA
Rfam family: Bacterial small subunit ribosomal RNA
Source: RNAcentral
CGGGAAUAUUGCGCAAUGGAGGAAACUCUGACGCAGUGACGCCGCGUAUAGGAAGAAGGUUUUCGGAUUGUAAACUAUUGUCGUUAGGGAAGAAAAAAGACAGUACCUAAGGAGGAAGCUCCGGCUAACUACGUGCCAGCAGCCGCGGUAAUACGUAGGGAGCGAGCGUUAUCCGGAUUUAUUGGGUGUAAAGGGUGCGUAGACGGGUUAGCAAGUUAGUUGUGAAAUCCCUCGGCUUAACUGAGGAACUGCAACUAAAACUGUUAAUCUUGAGUGCAGGAGAGGUAAGUGGAAUUCCUAGUGUAGCGGUGAAAUGCGUAGAUAUUAGGAGGAACACCAGUGGCGAAGGCGACUUACUGGACUGUAACUGACGUUGAGGCACGAAAGUGUGGGGAGCAAAC